AGAGUUUGAUCCUGGCUCAGGAUGAACGCUGGCGGCGUGCCUAAUACAUGCAAGUCGAACGAGAACCUGGAUUCGUCUAGGGGACAGUGGCGGACGGGUGAGUAACACGUAGAUGACCUGCCUCGAAGCAGGGGACAACCCGCCGAAAGGCGAGCUAAUACCCUAUAAGCUCACGAGCUUUAGAACCUUGUGAGAAAAGCUCCGACGCUUGGAGAGGGGUCUGCGGGCCAUCAGGUAGUUGGCGGGGUAACAGCCCACCAAGCCGGUGACGGCUAGGGGACCUGAGAGGGUGAUCCCCCACACGGGAACUGAGAAACGGUCCCGACUCCUACGGGAGGCAGCAGUAAGGGAUAUUGCACAAUGGGCGCAAGCCUGAUGCAGCAACGCCGCGUGCAUGAUGAAGGCCUUCGGGUCGUAAAAUGCUUUUCUGGCUGAAGAGGACGGACCGUAAGCCAGAAUAACG
Molecule: ribosomal RNA, 463 nt
Filed under: uncultured Caldilineaceae bacterium
Lineage: Bacteria; Bacillati; Chloroflexota; Caldilineae; Caldilineales; Caldilineaceae
Description: bacterial SSU rRNA
Rfam family: Bacterial small subunit ribosomal RNA
Source: RNAcentral